GCAGGCUGAAGGGAUUGCCGAAAUUGAUAAAUUGUUCUAUCGGCCUGACGCGAUAAGACUCAGCCCUAGCCACAAAAUCGAGGCUGAAGAAGGAACACGGUGCCCAAAGUAGAACCUAAUUUAAUUAGCCUUUCUUUGCCUGCUCCUCCUGCACGUACGUCCUGGAGGAGCUGCCAGUUUGGGGGUAGAUGGGGAGGGGCGAGGGUUGUCAUAUUUACCCAGAUAUUACCCUUUACAUAAUCUUAAACCUUAACCCUAAUUAGGACCCUAAAAAACAAGUAUGGCGCCAAUUUAUCCCAUCAAAAAGUGCUCCCAAUGGAAGCCUUUGGGUACACCUGAACUCCCUGGGGGAGCCUUUACGCAACCCCACACUCAACAGGACUCUGCGUCUUCACUCUUUCCUAACAACCCUAAACAUAACCCUAACCGCAACAAGAAGCUCAACCCGAGUUAGACCCGAAAAAACACGUACGGUGCCACUUUCUGCCAUCAAAAAGUGCUCUCAGCGGAAGCCUUUGGGUAAACCUGAACUCCCUGGGGGAGCCUUUACGCAACCCCACACUCAACAGGACUCUGCGUCUUCACUCUUUCCAAACAACCCUAAUGGGAACUUAUCUAUCUUAUUCAAGAGAUUGCUCGUAGGGCACCCUAGAGUACCCUGGGAGGCUUCUAGGGGAUCCUAGAGGAAACUGGGAGUCACUGGGAGGUUUCCGGGGGAGCUGGAGGGCACUGGGUGGCCCUGGUAGACCUGCGGAGGAUCUACAGUGCAGGGAAGGACCACAGGAGGCCUCCGGUGUUCUUGAGAGUGUUCUUGAUUUUUUUUUGGCGUGUAAUCUGUUACGCUCCUAGAUUAUUUUUGCCUAUGUAAAGAAAGGUUUGAGCUAAUUCCGGUUGAAACAGUUUCAGUUGCUUGUUUGGUCAUAUCGUCCUGUCAAUAUUCAAAGCUGAAGCAAAAGCACGGGAAUUGUUGCUUCUAGAAACAGCCCAGUUCUCUGUGCUGCGAUUUGUGCACCGUUGAGCUAAGCCAGAUAAAGAAAAACAACACAGCUGCUGCUCACCCUGCUUCAUUUCUCUUUCAUUUAUUUUUUAUUUUUCGCUUUGCCCCUCCUCUUUCCCAGGGUUCUUUUGCAGGGUUCUUUAGGUGGGUCAGAGCGUAUGGGCUGACGCGUUUCCAAGUUAAGAGAGGCAGGCACGUCUUUUUGGGGUAACAACUAGUAGGAUCUUCUAGAGUAAAGCAAUCUAUGUAGUAGCAGGUGCCUUUACUGCACGCGGCUCUUCUUCAGGUGAGUAAUUUUUACAGCAUGCUUGUGGAUAGGAAGGUGAUGUUGUUUUGCGUGUUUGCUCUGUGGUUCUAGGCCCCCUAUGAUUUUUGCAGAAUUACGGGGCUUACUGUGAGUGUGACCGUGUGCCUUCGCCUGUAUGUCAAAUAUUAUCGAAGUUACAACCCUGGUGGUCAAGUGACGGAGCUGGGUUUAGGGAAAUGUGUCAUCCAAGUUCCCUGUGCCAGUGUGUGUCUGAAAACAGCAGCAGUAGGCAGGUAAGGUGUAGCCUUUUUCAGGGUUAGGGACAGUUUCUUAUGUUUUUGGAGCUUUUUCCUGCUGUUUUGCUGGCUGUAGAGUCUUUAGACCUUGUAGCCUUCUAGGUUUGAAGCGCUUGGGAUUCACUUAAUAGGGAAUAUUUAGCAGAGGUUGCUGGCUAACUUGUUUUUGGGAUGUGGUGGGGUAUGCUUCUCUUUUUGGGUUACAUUUUAAUCUCUAGAUGUACUGUUCUUUAAUCUUUUUGGCUUAUAUUUUAAUCUCUAGAUAUAUCAAGCCAUUCUUUGUGAAUCCUCUCGAGAGGAUUCACAAAGAGCUUCAGUAUGCACCGCAAGGGGCUUGACCACGUAGGUGCAGUAUUACCGAGAGACUGAGCAGGGUCACCUUUUCCAUCUGUGAAGGAGAAGCCUGUGAUUACCCGUUGGGGCUGCUGUGCAUUCAUGGCCUGUUGGCAUUUGUGCACCUGAGGGUUUUGGUUUUUUUUCUGGCUCUGGUCUCUGUGCUCGAGCCCUCUGCAAGGAGCUGCACCGUUUGCCUCUGGAUGGCAGCAUUUGACAUCUAAGACGUGUUCUUUACGUUCACGUCUUCGUCACGCAAUGGGAUCAGAUUCGCCUUCCCGUGGCAAGGCGUACAAAAAACCUCCGCUCCGCUGCCACAGGGAUUUUGGUAUAGCCCUACCGCAGCUCACAACAUCCUUGCUCAGCAGGAAUGAUUCCCAACGCUUCCUUCACCGAUACCCCUAGUCCAGUACAUAGACACAACUGGGGCGUCAGCGGAAGGCCCAUGUGGAGCAAGGAGCUCUGGCACGAAUUACGGGACGUUGCUCCGAAAACCUCUCUCUGAUGGGCACGUGGAUGCCCGCCAGCCCCUGAACACUAACAAGGCCGGGUGGAAUAACCACAGCGACUUGCUUGGAUGAUGCCGUCUUAGCUGUGAAGCUUCUGUUUCUUUCCUGGGGCCCCGUGCCUGCCGUUCUCCAGGCUACAGAAGCCUCACCGGAACGAACGUCCUCCGCUCACCUCGCACCGAGCAGCAGCCAACAGCUUCAGCCUCUCUGGUGGCCGGUUGGGUGAAUAUCUCCAUCAGACUCCAGAAGAUUUGUUACGACGGACUAGCUGUCCACCAGGCCCUCGGUUUUCUUAGGUCCCUGGCUAAGCUACGAUUUGUGAGAUGAGAGUUCUGCGCGCCCCCGGUUAUUCAAAUAAAUGACGAUUUAUCCCUCCCA
Molecule: long non-coding RNA, 2760 nt
Organism: Anser cygnoides (Swan goose)
Lineage: Eukaryota; Metazoa; Chordata; Aves; Anseriformes; Anatidae
Source: Ensembl